GAAGAAGAAGAAGAAGGAGACGAACAUAGAUAUCAUAAGACGACGACGAAGAAGAAGAAGCAGGAAAAAGAGUCACUUGCGGACUGCUGUCAUAUCGCGUAUCAGUGCUCUAACGUUAACAGAAAAGCUUUAGCUGAGCUGUACACAAACUGACAACAUUACAAGUAAAAUACAAACGACUUUAUAAUUCACAGUCAUCCCAAUGGACGCUGCUCAGAGUUUGUCAAGAUUUUCCCUGGACCUGGGUCCGCUUAAAGAACCUCUUGGGUUUAUUCGCGUCUUAGAGUGGAAAACAACAACAAACAAUGACAGCCUUCAUGAUGGAC
This is a long non-coding RNA of Nematolebias whitei (Rio pearlfish), 326 nucleotides long. RefSeq lists it as uncharacterized. The transcript has 3 exons. NCBI's taxonomy places the organism in Eukaryota, Metazoa, Chordata, Actinopteri, Cyprinodontiformes, Rivulidae. The record is from RefSeq and is a predicted model, not a curated record.